UGGUAGAGCAGCUACCUUUCGUGGG
Molecule: non-coding RNA, 25 nt
Filed under: Rattus norvegicus (Norway rat)
Lineage: Eukaryota; Metazoa; Chordata; Mammalia; Rodentia; Muridae
Source: RNAcentral